CAACCUUGAAAUACCACCCUUUAAUGUUUGAUGUUCUAACGUUGGCCCCUUACCGGGGUUGCGGACAGUGUCUGGUGGGUAGUUUGACUGGGGCGGUCUCCUCCUAAAGCGUAACGGAGGAGCACGAAGGUUAGCUAAUCCUGGUCGGACAUCAGGAGGUUAGUGCAAUGGCAUAAGCUAGCUUGACUGCGAGCGUGACGGCGCGAGCA
This 209-nucleotide ribosomal RNA is filed under the name Klebsiella pneumoniae. RNAcentral describes it as "partial 23S ribosomal RNA". It matches the Rfam family "Bacterial large subunit ribosomal RNA", at positions 2187 to 2395 of the family's 2925-position model. The record is from RNAcentral. Lineage: Bacteria; Pseudomonadati; Pseudomonadota; Gammaproteobacteria; Enterobacterales; Enterobacteriaceae.